AGUGAACGCUGGCGGUAGGCCUAACACAUGCAAGUCGAACGGCAGCACAGUAAGAGCUUGCUCUUACGGGUGGCGAGUGGCGGACGAGUGAGGAAUACAUCGGAAUCUACUUUUUCGUGGGGGAUAACGUAGGGAAACUUACGCUAAUACCGCAUACGACCUACGGGUGAAAGCAGGGGAUCUUCGGACCUUGCGCGAUUGAAUGAGCCGAUGUCGGAUUAGCUAGUUGGCGGGGUAAAGGCCCACCAAGGCGACGAUCCGUAGCUGGUCUGAGAGGAUGAUCAGCCACACUGGAACUGAGACACGGUCCAGACUCCGACGGGAGGCAGCAGUGGGGAAUAUUGGACAAUGGGCGCAAGCCUGAUCCAGCCAUACCGCGUGGGUGAAGAAGGCCUUCGGGUUGUAAAGCCCUUUUGUUGGGAAAGAAAAGCAGCAGGUUAAUACCCCGCUGUUCUGACGGUACCCAAAGAAUAAGCACCGGCGAACUUCGU
Molecule: ribosomal RNA, 491 nt
Filed under: uncultured bacterium
Lineage: Bacteria
Description: partial 16S ribosomal RNA
Rfam family: Bacterial small subunit ribosomal RNA
Source: RNAcentral